This 472-nucleotide ribosomal RNA is filed under the name uncultured bacterium. RNAcentral's name for it is "partial 16S ribosomal RNA". It matches the Rfam family "Bacterial small subunit ribosomal RNA", at positions 28 to 507 of the family's 1533-position model. The record is from RNAcentral.
GACGAACGCUGGCGGCGUGCUUAACACAUGCAAGUCGAACGCUGAAGCUUGGUGCUUGCACUGGGUGGAUGAGUGGCGAACGGGUGAGUAAUACGUGUGUAACCUGCCCUUGACUCUGGGAUAAGCCUGGGAAACUGGGUCUAAUACUGGAUACGACAUGUCACCGCAUGGUGGUGUGUGGAAAGGGUUUUACUGGUUUUGGAUGGGCUCACGGCCUAUCAGCUUGUUGGUGGGGUAAUGGCUCACCAAGGCGACGACGGGUAGCCGGCCUGAGAGGGUGACCGGCCACACUGGGACUGAGACACGGCCCAGACUCCUACGGGAGGCAGCAGUGGGGAAUAUUGCACAAUGGGCGGAAGCCUGAUGCAGCGACGCCGCGUGAGGGAUGACGGCCUUCGGGUUGUAAACCUCUUUCAGCACGGAAGAAGCGAAAGUGACGGUACGGGCAGAAGAAGCGCCGGCUAACUACGUG